RNAcentral lists this ribosomal RNA (927 nucleotides) under uncultured bacterium. Its description in RNAcentral is "bacterial SSU rRNA". It matches the Rfam family "Bacterial small subunit ribosomal RNA", at positions 57 to 983 of the family's 1533-position model. The record is from RNAcentral.
GCAGUCGAACGGCAGCACGGGGGCAACCCUGGUGGCGAGUGGCGAACGGGUGAGUAACAUAUCGGAACGUGCCCUGGAGUGGGGGAUAACUAGUCGAAAGAUUAGCUAAUACCGCAUACGAUCUACGGAUGAAAGUGGGGGAUCGCAAGACCUCAUGCUCGUGGAGCGGCCGAUAUCUGAUUAGCUAGUUGGUGGGGUAAAGGCCUACCAAGGCAUCGAUCAGUAGCUGGUCUGAGAGGACGACCAGCCACACUGGGACUGAGACACGGCCCAGACUCCUACGGGAGGCAGCAGUGGGGAAUUUUGGACAAUGGGCGCAAGCCUGAUCCAGCAAUGCCGCGUGAGUGAAGAAGGCCUUCGGGUUGUAAAGCUCUUUUGUCAGGGAAGAAACGGUUCGGGUUAAUACCUUGGGCUAAUGACGGUACCUGAAGAAUAAGCACCGGCUAACUACGUGCCAGCAGCCGCGGUAAUACGUAGGGUGCAAGCGUUAAUCGGAAUUACUGGGCGUAAAGCGUGCGCAGGCGGUUGUGCAAGACAGAUGUGAAAUCCCCGGGCUCAACCUGGGAAUUGCAUUUGUGACUGUACGGCUAGAGUGUGUCAGAGGGGGGUAGAAUUCCACGUGUAGCAGUGAAAUGCGUAGAGAUGUGGAGGAAUACCGAUGGCGAAGGCAGCCCCCUGGGAUAACACUGACGCUCAUGCACGAAAGCGUGGGGAGCAAACAGGANUAGAUACCCUGGNAGUCCACGCCCUANACGAUGUCUACUAGUUGUCGGGUCUUUAUUGACUUGGUAACGCAGCUAACGCGUGAAGUANACCGCCUGGGGAGUACGGUCGCAAGAUUAAAACUCAAAGGAAUUGACGGGGACCCGCACAAGCGGUGGAUGAUGUGGAUUNNUUCGAUGCACGCGAAAACCUUACCUACCCNUG